This 1939-nucleotide long non-coding RNA is filed under the name Olea europaea subsp. europaea. Lineage: Eukaryota; Viridiplantae; Streptophyta; Magnoliopsida; Lamiales; Oleaceae. The record is from RNAcentral.
AUCACCACAACUCCCCUUAGCUACCAACCACCAUUGACCUACAUCACCAGACCAACAACAUCAACCAAUUUCUAAAGAGGAGCAAGGAUCGAGCUCUGGUACUGCUUCGGAGCUAAUUUAAGUGGUUCCCUCUGCUGAUGGCUCGAAUGGGACAAUUAGGCUGCCCAUAAAGAUAAACCUAUAUGAGAUGGCAAAAAGGUCAAGUUGGUUGCCUAAUAGCUGGACGAUAGAUUUGUCUAAUAGUUGAUGAUAGAUUUGAGGGUAUGUUCGUCUAGAGCUACCGCUGGAACCAUCGAUUCAGUAUCUUUGGCUCUCUAAUUCACACACAUAUACACCCACACACAGAAAUGGUCUAAAUUUGCACAAAAAUGGUCUAAAUUUUGACCAAAUCUAGCUAAAAUUAUUAUUGUUUUACUCAAAAUUUUGACUGUCAUUUUGCUUAAAACUACUGUCAUUUUUUAUGGCUAUUCUUCGAUGGUGGUGUCCACCAUUGCUAUGGUUAUUCUUCAACGGUGGUGGGUUUGUGGUGGCUGAGGGGCUGAAGGUUGAUGGUGCCUGGUGGUUGAUGGGCGACUGGUUGGUGGUAGGUCAAUGGUGGCUAGUUUUUUUUCCUUUUCUUUUUAUUUUGGUUUAGUGAAGUUAUUUUAAUUGUUUUAUAUGGUUAAAUAGCAAAUUACCCUUUUAAAUUGGUCAAAAUAGGUCAGAGUUCAAUUUUAUUUGUCGACUAAUGGUGGAAUUGUGAGUGCUACAAAGUGAAGGUUAAGAUAAAGUCUGAAGAAAAUUAAAAACAGGUUUGGGACCACCAUUGCAAUUUUCCCUUUAUUCUAUAAUAAAAGGCACUAUAUGCUUGUUUGUUUGUGAGACCAAAAUUAAUAUUUAGCCAUUGUUUAUUUUUCAUUCUUUCUCCAUAAAAAUAAAAAAAUAUAACUGUUAUCCAUUACAUCAAGUUACCAAAUCUGAAUUUAUAUCUCUUGUGUGGGAUUCAUAACAGCUUUAUUUUUCAUUCUCAUUUUUACAAAAAUGGGAAUCAAACGAAGAUUUAGUAUGCCUUCAAUUUUUUUUUUUUUUUUAUUUUGGGACAGAAGAAGGAGGCAAAUAAGAAGCCAAACUUCUAAACGCUGUAGGUCAGUCACUGUAGAGGCCCUUUUUAUGUCAGUCAAAUUAUAGAUACUCACUAGGCUUUCCCAAUUUCGAAUAGUCAUAUUACUGAUGAGACCAUUGACAAUUUCUUAUGUAUAGAGAAGGCAUUUCACUAUCGGAUCAUGCAGGAUUUCGCUGGCUAUCAAUUGGAAAGAUGUGACCUGCAAUGGCGUCCACUUGCCAAUAGGUGACUCAGGAUUCAAGAAUCACAAGAUAAGGGACCGCUUUCAUUUUAUGCUUCCCUAUGUGCUGUAAGUAGAAUCUCACUCUUAUCAUUUUCUCCCAUUCCCCAAGAUUGCUUAUAACGAGGUAUUGUGCACGUGCCACAAUAAAACUUGAGAAAAUAUCCAAAAGUGUCAGAAUUAGGGUGUAACUUGAAUUCUACUUGGAAGAUUACUUGGGAAUUUUCUUCAAAGUCCAGUUGACGAUUCUAACUGGAGUCUAUUUGAGAAUUUAAGUUGGAAUUCUAUUUGAGAGUUGGUAAUAAACUUGAAGAGAUCUCGAAGGAAUCCAAGUUCCAAUUGGAGAAGCAAACAUCAAACUAGCGCUUGCCUAUCCCCUUGAUUCCAUUUGAACGCUCAAAACACGAGUACCAGCUCUUGGUUACCGCGAUGCGGCCACUGUUCGAUGCAAUCGGCUAUUUUUUUUGAGAAAUAUUCUAUCCUUUUCUUGGCAAUAUUUUUACUCCCAUUUCAUUUCAUAUAUUCCAUUAUUGGUUUUACCCAUUGAAUUAGAACUUCACUUUCUAUUAAACUCUUCAUUUUAAUAUAUUCAUAGUAUGUUAGGGAUCUUCGUGUUA